RNAcentral lists this ribosomal RNA (245 nucleotides) under uncultured Smithella sp. RNAcentral describes it as "partial 16S ribosomal RNA". It matches the Rfam family "Bacterial small subunit ribosomal RNA", at positions 524 to 768 of the family's 1533-position model. Lineage: Bacteria; Pseudomonadati; Thermodesulfobacteriota; Syntrophia; Syntrophales; Smithellaceae. The record is from RNAcentral.
UACGGGGGGUGCAAGCGUUGUUCGGAAUCAUUGGGCGUAAAGGGCGUGUAGGCGGCUGGAUAAGUCAGAUGUGAAAGCCCUGGGCUUAACCCAGGAAGUGCAUUUGAUACUGUUCGGCUUGAGUAGGGGAGAGGAAAGUGGAAUUCCUGGUGUAGAGGUGAAAUUCGUAGAUAUCAGGAGGAACACCGGUGGCGAAGGCGACUUUCUGGCCCUAUACUGACGCUGAGACGCGAAAGCGUGGGGAG